UGGGCCUGCCCGGUGAAUAACUAUUUAAACGGCCGCAGUGAAUAACUGUGCUAAGGUAGCGUAAUAAAUUGUCUCUUAAUUGGAGAAGGGUAUGAAUGGUUUGACGUGGUGGUAUCUGUCUCAGUAAUAAUAAGGUGAAGUUUUCUUUUUAGUUAAAAGACUUGAAUGGCGUUAAAAGACGAGAAGACCCUGUCGAGCUUGAUAAAAAUAUAGAGUGUUUUUGUAUAAUAAGUUUAGCUGGGGCAGCUGAAAACCAUAAAAUAGUUUUCUUUUUUUUGAAGAUCCGGUUUAUACCGAUCAUAAGAAAAAGCUACCGCAGGGAUAACAGCGUUAUCUUUCCUGAGAGAACUAAUUGAAGGGAAGGUUUGCGACCUCGAUGUUGGAUUAAAAUUUCUUUUUGGUGUAGCAGCUAAAAUAGUAGGACUGUUCGUCCUUUAAAAUUUUACGUGAUCUGAGUC
This 458-nucleotide ribosomal RNA is filed under the name Cultellus attenuatus. RNAcentral's name for it is "partial large subunit ribosomal RNA". It matches the Rfam family "Bacterial large subunit ribosomal RNA", at positions 1854 to 2611 of the family's 2925-position model. The record is from RNAcentral. Lineage: Eukaryota; Metazoa; Mollusca; Bivalvia; Adapedonta; Cultellidae.